CUCACAUCAUGCACCGUCUAGCAAUGAAGGAAUUGCAUCGAACGAGACAACGUCGCACGAUGCAGUGGGCCAAGCACGCGGAUGCUGCUUAAACAGUUGUGAUGGUCAUCCUCGCUACAAAUCGAUAUACGUACGCCCAUUGUCCACCGUGCUGGUGCCUUAUGUGUGAUGGUCGUCCUCGAGCAGAUCAUUUUGUUAUAGCGUCCCCAGGAACAUGGCACACUCUUCGUAGUCAUGCUGCACUGCACAAUACCCCGCUUGCGCCCUGAGUCGUGCUCCUGAAAUUUCUACUGUGCGACACAUUGUUGAAAGAAGUACACAAGACUCUACUG
This is a long non-coding RNA of Ornithodoros turicata, 332 nucleotides long. RefSeq lists it as uncharacterized. Lineage: Eukaryota; Metazoa; Arthropoda; Arachnida; Ixodida; Argasidae. The record is from RefSeq and is a predicted model, not a curated record. The transcript has 3 exons.